RNAcentral lists this ribosomal RNA (197 nucleotides) under uncultured bacterium. Its description in RNAcentral is "partial 16S ribosomal RNA". It matches the Rfam family "Bacterial small subunit ribosomal RNA", at positions 328 to 539 of the family's 1533-position model. The record is from RNAcentral.
ACGCUCGACACCUACGGGGGCAGCAGUGGGGAAUAUUGCACAAUGGGGGAAACCCUGAUGCAGCGACGCCGCGUGAAGGAAGAAGUAUCUCGGUAUGUAAACUUCUAUCAGCAGGGAAGAAAGUGACGGUACCUGACUAAGAAGCCCCGGCUAACUACGUGCCGGCAGCCGCGGUAAUCUGAGCGGGCUGGCAAGGC